RNAcentral lists this long non-coding RNA (1243 nucleotides) under Capra hircus (goat). RNAcentral describes it as "lncRNA (ENSCHIG00010029957.1)". Lineage: Eukaryota; Metazoa; Chordata; Mammalia; Artiodactyla; Bovidae. The record is from RNAcentral.
GUUGGUGCUGACCCUGCGAAGGCAUCAGAAGGGGAAAGAAGUCUCACCAUCAUGCUUGGCAGGAGGGCGCAAUGACCCCGUGACUGGACUCAGCGGGCUGGCCCACGCACGCCUCUUGUCUUCUCCCCUCCCAGCAGCACUGCUGUGUUCCAAAGCCUCUUGCUACCUGCCUGUCCACCGUCCACAUUCCUCCUUUAUCCUCAUGCCAAAGGAGACAUCCCAACCCAGAGGAUAAACAUGGUGGCUUGACACUGAUUCCUUGUAUGUUGCUUACAAUUACUGUAUUUAUUGAGGAUAAAUACCCCAUGCUAAACCCUGGGAAGGAGAAAAUAAAAAGAUAAAGGCUGAUUCUUAGUCUAGAAUAAACAUUUUAAAAAAAUUUAGAUAAAGAUGAAACCUUUAUAAAGAUUAAAAGAUUCUAGAUGAAGGUUAAAAAAAAACCCAAACUAUCAUGAAAUAACAAUAAAUAUAUCACAGAAAAUAAAUGCAUUAUUACAUUGUGUAACAGCCUAGAACAUCUCCUAGGCAUCCAGAGGAAGGUGAUGAGGGCUCUGGUAUCAGGGAGACAUCCCAGAACAAGAGGGAUUUCAAUGGGGCCUUGAAUAGCGGAGACGAGGAGAGAAGACUUUUGUCAUGAGCCAAGUUGUUGAAUGGCUAAGUCUUCUCUGGCUCCCACAAUUCUCUCUAGGAAAUAAUAGUAAUAUCUAACCUUGUAAAGUAUUUCAGAGGAUUUAUAUGUCACACUUACCUAGUUCUUAAUAAGUGCUAUAAAUGUUAAAUAUGCAUGUAGAAUAUAAAUAUAUAAAAGUAUAUAUAAUUACAAACUUUCCCCUGCAGCAUUAGGUGAAGAAAGCUAAAAAAUUUGAAACAAAAACUUUCCUACUUGUAUUGGAAUAGCAUUAUCUCUAGGAGGCACGAGUUCUGCUAGACCACCAAGCGCACCACAUAUAACCAGGACUGUAUGCAGAUAUUCCUUCCCGUGCCAUUUAGUGUACCCAGGUACCUCCCCUGCAGGAUAACAAUCCCCAGCAGUUAUACAAGUCUUUAUGUUUAUACAAGGACUCUUCCUUAUCACUAUCCAAAGGAAACGACUCAUGGAGAAUUGGAGACAAAUAUAUGUUAUUCUCAAUAAUGGAAACACAAGAACAGUGCCUCUCAAAGUGUCCUUCAGUAUUCAUAUAUAACUAUCUAAGUAUUGCUUCCCUGGUGGCUCAGACGGUAAAGCGUCUGCCUGCAAUGCGGG